UGAUACGUUGGUCCAAAAUGCUGUCCAC
RNAcentral lists this small RNA (28 nucleotides) under Bombyx mori (domestic silkworm). RNAcentral describes it as "ovarian small RNA-32410". The record is from RNAcentral. Lineage: Eukaryota; Metazoa; Arthropoda; Insecta; Lepidoptera; Bombycidae.